Molecule: unclassified non-coding RNA, 350 nt
Filed under: plant metagenome
Description: partial contains 5.8S ribosomal RNA, internal transcribed spacer 2, and large subunit ribosomal RNA
Rfam family: 5.8S ribosomal RNA (bases 1-105)
Source: RNAcentral
GAAAUGCGAUAAGUAAUGUGAAUUGCAGAAUUCAGUGAAUCAUCGAAUCUUUGAACGCACCUUGCGCUCCUUGGUAUUCCGAGGAGCAUGCCUGUUUGAGUGUCAUGGAAUUCUCAACUCUAUUUGCUUUUGUGAAUAGAGCUUGGAUUUGGAGGUUUAUUGCUGGUACUUGUGAUCGGCUCCUCUUGAAUGCAUUAGCUCGAACCUUUGCGGAUCAGCUAUCGGUGUGAUAAUUGUCUACGCCGUUGCAGUGAAGCAUAUCAAUGGGCUCGGCUUCCAAUCGUCCUUUACUGGACAACGACUUUGACCUUUGACCUCAAAUCAGGUAGGAUUACCCGCUGAACUUAAGC